RNAcentral lists this ribosomal RNA (515 nucleotides) under uncultured bacterium. RNAcentral describes it as "partial 16S ribosomal RNA". It matches the Rfam family "Bacterial small subunit ribosomal RNA", at positions 28 to 523 of the family's 1533-position model. The record is from RNAcentral.
GAUGAACGCUGGCGGCGUGCCUAAUACAUGCAAGUCGAGCGAAUGGAUUAAGAGCUUGCUCUUAUGAAGUUAGCGGCGGACGGGUGAGUAACACGUGGGUAACCUGCCCAUAAGACUGGGAUAACUCCGGGAAACCGGGGCUAAUACCGGAUAACAUUUUGAACCGCAUGGUUCGAAAUUGAAAGGCGGCUUCGGCUGUCACUUAUGGAUGGCCCCGCGUCGCAUUAGCUAGUUGAUGAGGUAACGGCUCACCAAGGCAACGAUGCGUAGCCGACCUGAGAGGGUGAUCGGCCACACUGGGACUGAGACACGGCCCAGACUCCUACGGGAGGCAGCAGCAGGGAAUCUUCCGCAAUGGACGAAAGUCUGACGGAGCAACGCCGCGUGAGUGAUGAAGGCUUUCGGGUCGUAAAACUCUGUUGUUAGGGAAGAACAAGUGCUAAUUGAAUAAGCUGGCACCUUGACGGUACCUAACCAGAAAGCCACGGCUAACUACGUGCCAGCCGCCGCCGUAA